Sorex fumeus (smoky shrew) is the source of this 105-nucleotide small nuclear RNA. NCBI's taxonomy places the organism in Eukaryota, Metazoa, Chordata, Mammalia, Eulipotyphla, Soricidae. The record is from RefSeq and is a predicted model, not a curated record.
ACUCUCUUUGGCAGAAUAUACACUAAAAUUGGAAUGAGACAGAGAAGACUAGCAUGGCCCUUGUGCAAUGAUGCCAGGCAAAUUCAAUAAUUUUGCAAAUCAUUU